Chanos chanos (milkfish) is the source of this 510-nucleotide long non-coding RNA. RefSeq lists it as uncharacterized. NCBI's taxonomy places the organism in Eukaryota, Metazoa, Chordata, Actinopteri, Gonorynchiformes, Chanidae. The transcript has 10 exons. The record is from RefSeq and is a predicted model, not a curated record.
CACUCUCCCUUCCUUGGUACUGAGAUGGUUUGACGGCGAGCGGAUCAUUUUUGCGUUUUAGGCAUGACGGAGGGACAACAGUCAGCAUCUCCACGAAAGAUGCAGACUGGUGAUCUGAUUUGUCUCACAGAUGGAGGGAGGAGACCAGUCUACUAUCUGGUGGUAGAUGGAAUGAUGACAUCGUAAAGGACAACUGGAUUCCUUUGGGACCCAGUAUAUGGACUUUGAACUGCAUAGUUGCAGGAAUUGGAGCCAGAUGACAAAUCUUUGACUGGCAGAGUGUGGAAGUCGGCUGAUUCUAGUUUGCACAGUCUGUGAAUGUGACUGCUGCUUCUGACUGGAUGGCGUAUUACCCACGGUGAAAGCGAUGGUAGUGUACUUUCCUGAAAGACUAGACCUGUGGUGGUGGAUAUGAUGAAACACCAGACAUUACAGAAGAAAAGGGAAAGAGGAGUGCAACAGAUGUUUUUCUAAUUUUAAAACAAGUCUAUCAAUCAUUUGGCACUUUUU